This 465-nucleotide ribosomal RNA is filed under the name uncultured bacterium. RNAcentral's name for it is "partial 16S ribosomal RNA". It matches the Rfam family "Bacterial small subunit ribosomal RNA", at positions 31 to 507 of the family's 1533-position model. The record is from RNAcentral.
GAACGCUGGCGGCGUGCUUAACACAUGCAAGUCGAACGGAAAGGCCCUGCUUUUGUGGGGUGCUCGAGUGGCGAACGGGUGAGUAACACGUGAGUAACCUGCCCUUGACUUUGGGAUAACUUCAGGAAACUGGGGCUAAUACUGGAUAGGAGCUCCUGCUGCAUGGUGGGGGUUGGAAAGUUUCGGCGGUUGGGGAUGGACUCGCGGCUUAUCAGCUUGUUGGUGGGGUAGUGGCUUACCAAGGCUUUGACGGGUAGCCGGCCUGAGAGGGUGACCGGCCACAUUGGGACUGAGAUACGGCCCAGACUCCUACGGGAGGCAGCAGUGGGGAAUAUUGCACAAUGGGCGGAAGCCUGAUGCAGCAACGCCGCGUGCGGGAUGACGGCCUUCGGGUUGUAAACCGCUUUCGCCUGUGACGAAGCGUGAGUGACGGUAAUGGGUAAAGAAGCACCGGCUAACUACGUG